Hemicordylus capensis (graceful crag lizard) is the source of this 1020-nucleotide long non-coding RNA. RefSeq lists it as uncharacterized. NCBI's taxonomy places the organism in Eukaryota, Metazoa, Chordata, Lepidosauria, Squamata, Cordylidae. The record is from RefSeq and is a predicted model, not a curated record. The transcript is spliced from 2 exons.
UAGAAACACGACCUGCUGUAGCAGGGAUAGCUUUGCAGCAGGGAAACGUCUGCCGCACACAUGCAAAAAGGGAGAUAAUGUGCUUUACAGCUGACAUAAGGGCAGGCAAAUCAUAAGAACUAUCCUGUUGGAUGAAACUAUCUAUUCCAGCAGUCUGCCUCCAACAGCAGCUAGCCAGAUGCCUCUGGGAAGAUCACAAGUUUAGACUGAAGAGUGCCAGUGAAUGCGUCAUCAUAGAAAAUAUGGCUGAAUACCGGCAUCACAGGAAAGUACUCCACCUUAAAGGUUUGGAAUCCAGUGCCAGUAUCCAACUCAAAUUGUGUUUGUUCUGCAGGAAACCAACAGAAAUGAAAAGCACAGCUGUCCGGGUUUCGAUGAAACUGAUCCUAGUUCUUGAGGAAAUGAAAUAAAAUACAUCAGUGUUCAGUUGAGUUCCUGCAUUCCCCGCCGGCAGCAAUCCUUCAUCUCCAAGACAUUUCUCACUGUCUUUUAAUUUGGUUGGUUCAGAAUGAGGAAUGGAGGCUGCGACAGCUUCACUGAAUAAGGGAGUCUCUGUUGAGCCAGUUCAUCACACAACACAGCAUCUAUGGAAGCAUUAACUGAGACGCUGUGAUCCACCGGCUUAGAUGGGGUGCUGGUAAAUACUCCUUCUGGAUUGUCUUCUUCUAUGACCAGUUUGUCAAGCUGCACAGAUAAGUCUAAAUCAAAAUCUGACUCUUCCUCCAGUGACAAUUCCUGUGCCUGGGCUAUGUCCUGCAAAGCAAGCGGGAAAGUGCUCUCUAGGGGAGGCCGCCCAAAGAGAGAUAAGUUGUGAAUCCUGCGUAUGUCUCCUUGAGUUCUAUAGAAGGCAGACAAAGGAAAUACUGGAGACACAUGGUAUUUGGCCACUGUGAUUUUAUUUUAUUUAUGGACUGGCUAUGUAGGUGCAGACUCUAGAUCAACUGAAGGGCUAUUUCUGUAGGAUAGAGUGACCUCUCUAAAAGGCCAAGUAAAAAAGAUCUAAAUAAGAUCAUAAAUUAU